AGCAUGACUGCUGAGUAGAUGGGGUGAAAAUACUGAUAAAGAAUGGAAUAAAACUAUAAAGGUGUAUUAUCUAAUGCUUUUAUGUUUUUUAAGGAACAUCCAUCACAAAAUUAAAAGGACAUUACAAGGUGAGCAUACCAACAGAAGCAUGGGUAGUGUAAAAAAGACAGAUUACUUCCCAGUCCCAUAUAUACCAUGAAAAAUCUGAGUUGUACAAGAGAGAUAGCAAGGAAGAUUGGGAAAAGAUUAGCCACACACAGUUGUGCCAACCCUUUUUAAUAAACUGCAUAAUGAAAAAGACCCACUUCAACUCCAUGAAAGGCUGGGCAUAUAUAAAAUACCCACUAAAUACAACAAGACACAACAGCAGGUGGCAUAUCUAGGAGUCACUACUAGGACAUUAACAUUAGAGAUAGGAAGAACAUAGAAAAAUAUUGCUAUGGGAAAAUUAACUACAGCUCUAGCAGUCAAAGCAUAUAACAAUGACAUAAAAAUAGAAUGGGAGCAAGCUAAGAUAAUUAAGCCUGUCACUAUAAAAUCCCAGGCAAUACUAGAAGAGACCAUCAAGAUAAUACGGAGACAAGAAAAAGACAAGCUCAUUAAUGAUAGACUAGCAGUAGAGUUGCCAGUGCCAUGGAAAUAUUUAGUCAGAAAGCAUUCGACAUAGAGUAUGAAAUAAGAUCAUCAUGAAAGACCAUCAAGACACAGUUGUUUAAAAUUACUGGAGAAGGCAGCACUAUGUAGUAUAUCUUUCAGAGUUUUCUUUUUAUUUUGUUUUUUGUAUUUUUAUGCUUUAUUUUGUCUGUUUG
This 809-nucleotide long non-coding RNA is filed under the name Androctonus crassicauda. Lineage: Eukaryota; Metazoa; Arthropoda; Arachnida; Scorpiones; Buthidae. The record is from RNAcentral.